UGGGAGUUGGAUGUGGGCAGCCUUGGGA
Molecule: non-coding RNA, 28 nt
Filed under: Homo sapiens (human)
Lineage: Eukaryota; Metazoa; Chordata; Mammalia; Primates; Hominidae
Source: RNAcentral